This 22-nucleotide non-coding RNA is filed under the name Rattus norvegicus (Norway rat). Lineage: Eukaryota; Metazoa; Chordata; Mammalia; Rodentia; Muridae. The record is from RNAcentral.
UGUUCAGCUUGGUGGCAAGUGU